AUCUCCUAAGGCUAAAUACUCUCUAGUGACCGAUAGUGAACCAGUACCGUGAGGGAAAGGUGAAAAGCACCCCGGAAGGGGAGUGAAAUAGAACCUGAAACCGUGUGCUUACAAGUAGUCAGAGCCCGUUAAUGGGUGAUGGCGUGCCUUUUGUAGAAUGAACCGGCGAGUUACGAUUUGAUGCAAGGUUAAGCAGUAAAUGUGGAGCCGUAGCGAAAGCGAGUCUGAAUAGGGCGUUUAGUAUUUGGUCGUAGACCCGAAACCAGGUGAUCUACCCUUGGUCAGGUUGAAGUUCAGGUAACACUGAAUGGAGGACCGAACCGACUUACGUUGAAAAGUGAGCGGAUGAACUGAGGGUAGCGGAGAAAUUCCAAUCGAACCUGGAGAUAGCUGGUUCUCUCCGAAAUAGCUUUAGGGCUAGCCUCAAGUGAUGAUUAUUGGAGGUAGAGCACUGUUUGGACGAGGGGCCCCUCUCGGGUUACCGAAUUCAGACAAACUCCGAAUGCCAAUUAAUUUAACUUGGGAGUCAGAACAUGGGUGAUAAGGUCCGUGUUCGAAAGGGAAACAGCCCAGACCACCAGCUAAGGUCCCAAAAUAUAUGUUAAGUGGAAAAGGAUGUGGCGUUGCCCAGACAACUAGGAUGUUGGCUUAGAAGCAGCCAUCAUUUAAAGAGUGCGUAAUAGCUCACUAGUCGAGUGACACUGCGCCGAAAAUGUACCGGGGCUAAACAUAUUACCGAAGCUGUGGAUUGUCCUUUGGACAAUGGUAGGAGAGCGUUCUAAGGGCGUUGAAGCAUGAUCGUAAGGACAUGUGGAGCGCUUAGAAGUGAGAAUGCCGGUGUGAGUAGCGAAAGACGGGUGAGAAUCCCGUCCACCGAUUGACUAAGGUUUCCAGAGGAAGGCUCGUCCGCUCUGGGUUAGUCGGGUCCUAAGCUGAGGCCGACAGGCGUAGGCGAUGGAUAACAGGUUGAUAUUCCUGUACCACCUAUAAUCGUUUUAAUCGAUGGGGGGACGCAGUAGGAUAGGCGAAGCGUGCGAUUGGAUUGCACGUCUAAGCAGUAAGGCUGAGUAUUAGGCA
RNAcentral lists this ribosomal RNA (1077 nucleotides) under Staphylococcus aureus. RNAcentral describes it as "partial 23S ribosomal RNA". It matches the Rfam family "Bacterial large subunit ribosomal RNA", at positions 455 to 1538 of the family's 2925-position model. Lineage: Bacteria; Bacillati; Bacillota; Bacilli; Caryophanales; Staphylococcaceae. The record is from RNAcentral.